CAGUUGCUCUGAGAACCCCUGUGUGAAGGAGCUCAACUGCCCGCCCUGUGACUGUGCAUGCAUCCCUCCCGACCCUGCAGUUACAGACACAGCAAGACAACCAACCAUAUUAAAUUCCACAUAUAUAUGGUGAUCCAAGUCCAUAAGCUACCUACCUGAAGACAGCUAUGAUGUUCAGAGGCGAUGACAUUCUCCAAUCGACAAGGAAUUUAGUCAGUACUUGUUGAACAACUGAUACUGAAUUCUAUGUCACAAUACCUUGCACAAACUUAUUUAUGUUGUUAUAUUUUGUUGUAGUUGUAGGCUCACAGAAAAUGAGAAUUGAAAGAAAUGCUGGAACCCAUUUAGUCCACUUGCUUGCAAAUACUUUCAGCUCUGAAGACCUUUAUUUGAAAGUUUAUAUGGAAACCUAAUAUAUACAAGAGAGAGACUUGCAGCACUUUGAAGACCUUAGGAGCCUAAGCUCAGCCCUCUGUGACAGGUCCUAAGUGCCAAGAAUCUUUCAGAAACACUGCUCGAAAACCAUUGUUCAGGUUCAAUCCCUUCAUUUUCUAGAAAAAGAAGCUAAAGCAAGGCUAUGAGGCAAGUUAGCGCAGAACUAGACCUUCUGACUCAAUUUCAUCUUUUCUAACACAUCACUACUUUUUGAGUAGGAACAAUGCCCUGUGUCUCUUGUGUCCUCCACCGGGGCCACCACAGACAGAUAGCAGUGCUCAGUACAUGUUGUUUAAUAGAACAAUUGAUGUAUACCUGCUUUUCAACUUGAAAAGGCCAAAUCACCACCCAAGAUUCAUUAUGUGCAGAAAAAGCCUGCAUGCUUUUUAUCAAAGGAGCUAAGGGUCACCUCAGUCACCAUACCUAACCUGCUUAGCUGUCACCAAGGACGUACCCCAAAACCAAUAAGAAGAUUAAGAUGUCAAACAGUAAAGCAGCUGGGGCAUGUAAUGGACUUAAAACCACAAAGAGGAAGAAGACCUAUACUGAAGAAAGUUCUUCCUGCCCAGGGCAAUUAAUGUGGUGAACAGAUGGGGAGAGAUAUGAACUAUUUUCAUGCUUUAAUGGGAAGAUAAAAGACACAAGGAAAUAAUAAGCAGAAAAUCCAUAGUGCAGGGGCAAACAUAAAGACAUGCUUUUCUUUUUCCAAGCAAUAUUUAAUUCUAAGCAGUAAUAUUUGCUCAAAGUUUUACCCUGUUAGUUGUUUUUCCAUCAUUAAGAAGGAACUGAGUACUGGAGAGCUAUAAUAAGACAUUCAGAGAUAAAUCACAGAGUUGUGCAGGGGUAGCAAUGGAAGCAAUGAAGAUGAAAAUGAGCUCCUGCAUUCUGCUAUACACCUUAUCCCUGGCUGAGUUUGCAAAAAGGCAAGCUUCCCUUUAUUCAGAAGGUACCAUACAGUACAUUUAGAAAGGAUGUUUACAAUGAUGAUCAUGAGGUGGUAUUUGUAACAGCUAAGAAGCAUCAGGAUAUAUGUUCAAUACAGUUUUACUGUGGA
This 1489-nucleotide long non-coding RNA is filed under the name Homo sapiens (human). RNAcentral describes it as "HSALNT0319742". Lineage: Eukaryota; Metazoa; Chordata; Mammalia; Primates; Hominidae. The record is from RNAcentral.